Molecule: long non-coding RNA, 299 nt
Filed under: Chinchilla lanigera (long-tailed chinchilla)
Lineage: Eukaryota; Metazoa; Chordata; Mammalia; Rodentia; Chinchillidae
Description: lncRNA (ENSCLAG00000023517.1)
Source: RNAcentral
AUGAUGGAGGCAAACUGGCCACCCCUGUGCCAGGAGAAGUGCUGUCUAUUUUGUCUCAGUGAUUACAAAACUGACCUGACUAGUACAAAUUCAGCAGAUGUCAAAGAAAACCGGACUAGUGAAGUUUGAAGAUGUCAAAUACAUAGAAGAGAGAGUAGAAGAGUGACAACCAAGUGAUCAGGGAAGGCAAAAGUGGAGAGGUAAUUGUCAAGGGGUACAAAGCUUCAGGUGUGUAGGCUGCGUAAGUUCCAAAGUACUAAUAUAUAGCUUGUGGAGUGAAGUUAAUGAUACUGUGGUGU